AGAAUUUUUCUAAAAAAAAGCUGCGGCUGAAAACAAAAGAACCCCACCCCCGUUCUCUAUCUUCUUCAGAAGAAGAACCAGCCAUCUCCACCUAUCUUCUUCAACCUUCCAUCGACCCCUCCUCUCCAAAAACACAGCAGAACCACUAGCCCGCAAGUGACAGCGUUACAAAAUAGAGCUCCGUCCCUCCCUGUCCUCUUCGUCCAAAUAUUAGAGCAGAUUUGAGCAUUUUAUAAGCAGCUUCAGAUUUCGAAACGUUGUCUUUUGACCCCAAAUCAGUCCCAAAGAAAUUCAAAAACCAGUCGGAGUUUAGUUUCUGUCACUCUGAUUUAGUUCGAUAAUUCCGGCGAGCAUCAAGGUUGUCCGUGGUCGUUGUUCAUGGGUUCCGUUUCAGCUCCGUCCAUGGUUUGUCGUGUCGGAGUUUAAAGUCUCCUCAUAAGUAAUGAGCUGAUCCAUUUUUGAGUGACUGUGGUGUAUACGUUGCUGCAUUUUGCUGAAUAUAUCAGCAUUGGAGAGCUAUCGAUUUCAAAUGAAGACCUUUCUGAUAUUGAUCAACAUCGUAGACGCUAUGGAGCUCUACUUUGGGAUUAUGCUAGGAAAAAGCGAGACAUUGGUGCAAUUAGUGAGAGUGAGGUUACUGGCAGAUUAGCAAGACGAAUAGGUACACCAGCUGCAAAUGAGAGAACAUAACUCCUGAAGAAGAAGAAGAAAAAUUAGUUUCCCUAUUCUGUAGUAAAAUUGUAGUUAAAAUGUGUAGGUGUAGUGGGUUUGUAGUAAAGUUGUAGACAAUAUGUUACCUUAGAACAAGUAAUUAAAACAUAUUUGUGCUACAAUUGUUUUACCUUUAGUUUUGUUAUUUUUGUCCAUGAAAUUAUUACUUCAAAUCAAAAACACUAUGGAGAUCCUUUUUCGGUUCAAAAUUGUUAGUAUUUUAUUCUAUUA
Molecule: long non-coding RNA, 942 nt
Organism: Nicotiana attenuata
Lineage: Eukaryota; Viridiplantae; Streptophyta; Magnoliopsida; Solanales; Solanaceae
Exons: 2
Source: RefSeq, a predicted model, not a curated record